This 474-nucleotide ribosomal RNA is filed under the name uncultured Vibrio sp. RNAcentral's name for it is "bacterial SSU rRNA". It matches the Rfam family "Bacterial small subunit ribosomal RNA", at positions 39 to 515 of the family's 1533-position model. The record is from RNAcentral. Lineage: Bacteria; Pseudomonadati; Pseudomonadota; Gammaproteobacteria; Vibrionales; Vibrionaceae.
UGGGGCGGAAACGACACUAACAAUCCUUCGGGUGCGUUAAUGGGCGUCGAGCGGCGGACGGGUGAGUAAUGCCUAGGAAAUUGCCUUGAUGUGGGGGAUAACCAUUGGAAACGAUGGCUAAUACCGCAUAAUGCCUACGGGCCAAAGAGGGGGCUCUUCGGACCUCUCGCGUCAAGAUAUGCCUAGGUGGGAUUAGCUAGUUGGUGAGGUAAUGGCUCACCAAGGCAACGAUCCCUAGCUGGUCUGAGAGGAUGAUCAGCCACACUGGAACUGAGACACGGUCCAGACUCCUACGGGAGGCAGCAGUGGGGAAUAUUGCACAAUGGGCGAAAGCCUGAUGCAGCCAUGCCGCGUGUAUGAAGAAGGCCUUCGGGUUGUAAAGUACUUUCAGUUGUGAGGAAGGGGGUAACGUUAAUAGCGUUAUCUCUUGACGUUAGCAACAGAAGAAGCACCGGCUAACUCCGUGCCAGCAGC